Molecule: long non-coding RNA, 2227 nt
Organism: Equus asinus (donkey)
Lineage: Eukaryota; Metazoa; Chordata; Mammalia; Perissodactyla; Equidae
Source: Ensembl
AGUCAUUUGUAUUCAUAAUAUAAUUUAUCCAAAAAAAAGUGAAUUCUUGAGCAUUUACAGUACACAUAUCCGGAUUUGGAGUACCGACCUGACUUUUCCCUCCUAUCAUCCUUAUUAAAAGCAAAGAACACAAGCAGCCUCACAGACUUUCUGUUUCCUCAGCCUGUUAAAACCUACUGUGAAAGAAUGCAUGAGUAAUAUGUAUAAAUAAAAGUCCUUCACAGAACUUGAAAUGUUGUCCUUUGUUCAAAAAGACUGGGAUAAAGUUUCAGCUCCCAAUCAUCUUACUAUUUUGUAAAACUAUCUUAUACAUUUACCUUAUGUGGCAAGGAAGUUUUCUGCCAGGGUCUAAUUUUAUAACACAAAGAUAUUUUUAUUGCUUCCUUUACCCUGGGGAGUGUCAUGCUCUCCAAAUUGACUUUCCCCAAAAAACUUCACAAGAUAUCUUGUUUCCUCUGAUAUAUGGGUGCAGCUAUAUAAAUCUAAAACACUGAGAAAACAAAAAGUGAUGAUGAAAAAUAACCAACAAAUGCCUACUCAUAGAAGGUCCCAACACAUUUUUUUGAUUUUUCUCAACUGAUUUUAAUAACGAGUUACUAAAAUUGCAAAUUCAGCACUGUAAAGUUUUGCAUUAAACCUCACAAUAAAGCAAGACAUUAUACUAAUUUAGACUUAAUGCCUAAGAUGAAAAUACAGGCCAACUGAAUUAUCUGGGAUUCAGGAAUCAACAGCCCUAGUUUAUCUCAUAAUCUUUGUUUUUCCCUCAUUCUCACCAGACCUUUCAAGAACUAAACUGAAAAUUGAGCUUUCUCUCCUUUUACUUCCCUUGAUCACCUUCUGGAAGAGGUGCUAAUGAGCAAUGAGGUGAAAUGAACAAAGUAGGCUAUAAACGGAAAGUCUGAAGAGUUAAGAAAAGCACAGGAACUAGAUAAUGAACAAAUCACGUAAUCUGCACCAUAUAAGCAUGUGUGUGGUGGAAACGCACACCACCUGCGUGAGUGACAGGAUCAUCAACAACAAACAUUUGCUAGGCCUACUAUAGUUAUUUCUUUUUCCUUACUGUAUACUCCUGUAGACAUCACACUGUAGUUCAAUCAAGAAAAGGUAUCCAUUACAUACAUCUGAAUUCAUCUAACCAAAAUAAUAAAAAAAAUUAAUCAAUACAUGAUCAAUAUACAUUGAGAGAUCCAAAAUCAAUGUUAACCAGGCACAAAUGGCUUUUCUAGGACUGCUAUUUUGAAUAUUUUCACUCUGGUAACAACCAAGAAAAGAGUUAGCAGAACCUGUUUAAUUUCCGGGACAAAAAGGAUCUAGAAAAACGAGUAUUAAUGAUUUCUAUCAUAUUAUCAGUUCCAAAUUAUAAGAGUCGUGACUCCAGAGCAGGGGGCUUCAGAAACACUGAAAGCACUCACUGUUUUUCUGCCCAGUCUACGCUUGAUCCAGUUAUCAACAACAGGGCCCAGGAGUAACUUCUAUAAGCACAAAACUUACUCAAAACUCAACAAAUUCUAAAUAAAAAUGUUGUAACAGUAGAGCUCAGAAGUCUGCUGAACUAGAUAAUCCUAACUACCAAUAAACAAUUUCAUUUUUAGUAACAUUGCUAAUAAACCUGUGCUGUUUUAGCAGCUAAUAAUAUAGGUUGUAAGCAUGACAGAAACAAUGUGUAAUUUAAAGGCAAAAGGACUUUUCCUUUUCUCAAGUGACAGAAACAUUAGUUUGGCUCAUCUUCAGACAGAGCCUACCUUCUCAUCUCUGGUGGUUAUCUGGGUUUAAAGUGCGUCAGGACCUGAUGAAGACCCCGUCAAAAUGUAAGUAUACAUAUAUGCCUUUAUAUAUCUAUAUGCAUAUGAUGGCUAAAGAUCCAACCUACUGUUGCUUCUAAAAUGUUUAAUUAGAAUCUGUUUUACAGUCCUAAAAUGAAAUGUUUUGUUGGAAUAAAUAAGACUUUAGGACUUGAUGUUAACUACACUCAUGAAAAUAUAGAACUAGUGUGUCUAGUCUGCUGCUUUUAAAAGCUAAUGUAUUAUUCACAAAUGAGAAAUUUAAGCUUGUUACAUUUUAUUCAUGAGCAAUACUGACUAAAUAAUGAGACUUUAGAUCACAUAAACACAAUGAUUAUGGCUGUCAAUAGAAGAUCCAAAUUAAUGAAUUUUCUAAAGUUCUUUCUGUAUACAGACCUAAAUUCAAAUUCAGAAAGAGCUGAAUGACACAUUUAACCUGUAAUUUG